RNAcentral lists this ribosomal RNA (468 nucleotides) under uncultured bacterium. RNAcentral's name for it is "partial 16S ribosomal RNA". It matches the Rfam family "Bacterial small subunit ribosomal RNA", at positions 28 to 507 of the family's 1533-position model. The record is from RNAcentral.
GACGAACGCUGGCGGCGUGCUUAACACAUGCAAGUCGAACGGAAAGGCCCUGCUUUUGUGGGGUGCUCGAGUGGCGAACGGGUGAGUAACACGUGAGUAACCUGCCCUUGACUUUGGGAUAGUUUCAGGAAACUGGGGCUAAUACCGGAUAGGAGCUCCUGCUGCAUGGUGGGGGUUGGAAAGUUUCGGCGGUUGGGGAUGGACUCGCGGCUUAUCAGCUUGUUGGUGGGGUAGUGGCUUACCAAGGCUUUGACGGGUAGCCGGCCUGAGAGGGUGACCGGCCACAUUGGGACUGAGAUACGGCCCAGACUCCUACGGGAGGCAGCAGUGGGGAAUAUUGCACAAUGGGCGGAAGCCUGAUGCAGCAACGCCGCGUGCGGGAUGACGGCCUUCGGGUUGUAAACCGCUUUCGCCUGUGACGAAGCGUGAGUGACGGUAAUGGGUAAAGAAGCACCGGCUAACUACGUG